UUUUUUUCUUUUCUUUUUACUCAUUUAAAUUCAAUUUGCCAACAUACAGGAUGACACCCAGUGUUCAUCCCAUCACGUGCCCUCCAUGCCCAUCCCCCAGUGACCCCAUCCCCCACGUUCCUCCCCUCCCGAAACCCUCAGUUUGUUUCCCAGAGUUAGGAGUCUCUCAUAGUCUGUCUUCCUCUCUGAUUUUUCCCCCUGAAGCUUUCAUAGGCAGCAGAGACAUGGGAAAGGCUCUGGCCCACCCCCGCCCCCCGCCCUGAGGGGUCCUCCCCGCCCAUUGCCCAGCCAGCCCUGCAUCCUGCACCAGGCCCCAAGGCCAUCACAGGCCCUCUCCCUUGAUGCCUGUCUGUUCCCUCCAUCCUACGUGUGCUUCUCUCCCUCCUCUGCUUCCCAUGACUGCCUUGGCCCUGCUGUCACACUUAGCUCCUGCGGCCAACACUCCCUUAACCACUCAUUUGUUCAUUCACAUUUACCAAGCACCUACUGUGCAGGACUGUGCACCAAUGCUCAGGACACAGAGGAUGUGCCACCCUAACCUGGCUCUCCGGAUGCUCACAGCACAUGGAGACAGGCAGAAAAGCAAUAAGAUGGUGGGGAAUGCGGAAAAUGAAGAUGCAGCCGUGGACAGCAGCAUGGGGUGCAUAGGAGCCUGGGGCACCUAGCUGAGCUUGGAGAGGGAUAGUAGGGAAGACUUACUGGAGGAGGUGACGUCUGAGAUGGAUGAGUACUGAACUGAGCCCGGAGGCAGGGGCUCUAAUCCUUCCCUGUCCUCUCUCCUCUGCUUCCUGCUGCCCCAACUAACCCUCCAUUCCCAGCCCCAAUUCCCAGGACCAUAGCCUGCCACCAGAUGCAGAAGGUGUGAGGUUACUGUCCUGCCUCAAGAGCCAAGUAUUAACCUGCCCAGCACGGAGCCCACACAGAGGCACGGCAGGGACCAGGGCUACUGCGUGCACGCAGAAGUGUGCAGUGUUAUUGACACACCAGAGGACCAUUUUUAUUGCCACAUUUUUAUUGCCAAGAGGACCCCAUGCUACUGAAUUGCCAAGCCCUACUAGAGCACAUGAAACCUACAAAUUCUGAAGCUUGCUUUCUUUUUUUUUUUUAAAGAUUUAUUUAUUUGAAAGAGAGAGAAAGAGCGUGGGGGCGGGGGCAGAGGGAGAGGGAGACUCCUCAAGCAGACUUCCCGCCUACAUAGGGCUCAAUCUCACCACCCUGAGAUGGUGACCCAAGCUGAAAAUCCAGAGUUGGCCGCUUAACCAACUGAGCACCCCAAUUUGAAGCUUUCUAAAGGCACAAUGUGUAUACCCCCUACACAUCCAAAACAUCUCAGCCUCACUCAAAGGCUAAAGGUCAUGAGAAAUGACAGGUCAAUGCCUCGCAUGAAGGGGCCACCACCAAAGUCAGCAAAGGGUCAAGAAAAAAAAAAGCACAGAUCACACUGAGGUCACCUUCCACCUUUUCCAGUGGCAUCCAGGGCUGGGCUUGGGGAAUGAAUGGGAACUGGGGCCUGAGGGCACCCGGGAGAGGCCCAGUGGUUCCAGGCUGUGCAAUGUCUGGAGGGACAGUGGGACUGGCAGACAGGAGCCCUCAGUCCCAAGGGCAGGAGGGAGGUUUGAGGAAAGACUCGGGCCUUGCAGCAGGCAGGAACCAAGUACCUGGAAGUAAGGCACUGCUCACUGCACACCGCAUGGUGGAAGCAGCUACUACCACCGGCCAUCUGCUGCAUGAACAAAUGAAAAAAUGUUACAGCUCCUGAUUUCCUCAAGAGACACAAAAGCAGACGAACUAGAGCUAACUCUGAAGCCUUUUAUUGGAGAAACAGCUAAGCACUCUUAGGGAAACAAUGGCUCCAACACUCUGUGAGUUUGAGCCAUGCUGGGUCCGCAUUAAUCGAGCUUCUGUAGGGCGGGAUUUACCAGGACCUUCAAAAUAACAUUACGCACUUUGAAGAACCCAGAAGUUGACAGAGUGGCUUCUCCCAUGCUCACUUCAGCACUGGCUCUCUCUGCCUGCAGCAGCUUGUAAAGGGGAGUCGCAGGAAGCAAACUCUGGGGAACUUCCCGCCUUUCUCCCUCUGACCACAGCGGGCGGGUGCAAGUAUGCUGAGCUGGGCUCCCCUCGAUGACAACGGCCUGCAGCCCGAUGCCCAGCUGUGAUCCAGCCCCUCGCUCCCACUCGGGGUGGGGGGUACAAGUGAGUGAGGGUGACAUCAUGAAGCAGUUAACUUAGAAGCAUCAGUUCUUUAAAAAAAAAAUAAUAAAUAAACAUUCCCAUAAAUACCUAUAGUGUAUCUGGUGCUAUUAGCCAAUUGCAGGGGCCACAUCCAACAGCCUUGUCAAGAAUCGUGCUCUGGAGGUAAGAACCCUGCUCUUGACAACCCGGGAGGUGCAUCCUAUCCUGGCUUUCCUCUGGCCAGUCGCCGAUGCCCGGAACACCCUCUCCCCGGCACGUCCUUGGGUGGCUCCAGGGACCAUGCGUGGCCUUCACUGCAGCCCUCGACCAACGACUCUGCCCUGCCUGGCCGACACCAAAGCCCGGCGCCACAGGCCACACGUCAGCCCUGCCACCUCAUCUGCACCCCUGACUGUGACUUGGGGCAGAGACAGUGCUCCCUGACACCCUCACAAUAGGUGUGCACACCCAGGUGACUUCUGGCCAGCACAAAAGGUCCAGGAAACAAGGAGGGUCCACAUCACUGAUGUAGCUUUUCUUGGGAUCCGGUAAGAAAGCUGGUAGAGCAAGAUGUCCUCGCGGCACCAUGAGAUUAUCUCCUGGGACAAGGGGACAGUGGCUUGCAAUGCCCUGGCCAGGCAGCCGGCCUGGAAAAACUUAAAAGGCCCUCUUGUUGACAAAACCCACUUCUCCAGUAGAACCUGCCCCCAAACCUUUUAAAAUGAUUUUGGAUUUUGGCCCCAACUUGUUCUUCACGGCCCCACUGCACAGACACGUCGCUGACAUGCCAAACCCGUGCUCUGCUCCUUUAGCAGAGGCAGUCCCAAAAGUCCAUGAGAGCUUCCUCCGGGGGACAAGAUGGCACACGCCGGCCCCGGCCCACAGAGCGUGGCUCCUUGUCAUUCUGCCCAGAAGGCUAUAAUUAGAAGGCAGUCCCCUCCGUCGGCAGGGGUUCCACGCUGCCCCUCCCUGUGCUUUCCUGGAGAGCUCUCCCCAGAGGCCUGAUGGUGACCAGACCCCUGAGAGCCCCUGGGUGUCGGGUCUGCUGCCCAUAGCCCUGCUCAAGACAAGCUCCCAAGGCCCUCAUAAACUACAUCCUGACCAAGAGAUAGUUCCUUUAACUCCCCUCAGACUUCACCAGCAGCCCAGGCACGGCCGGUCCUCCCAGGCGUUCAAGUUCCCUCAAACCAACAAACAUGUACCCCCGCUCCCCUCACACAUUCCUUGAGCAUUCGUUGAUGAUGGCCAAUGGAUGCCAGUUGGUCUGCCAGGUGAAGGAGACACAAGAUCUGAGACCCAGUCAAUCAAAAUAGUGACAAUGGCCAAACAGGGGUCUGUCCUGGGCGGCCGGCAGGGGGCACAGGUGUGGCCAACUGGUCCUAUGACAGGGUGGGGGUCUGGGGGUACUUGGAACUCGAGACCAGUCCAACUGGAGCAAAAGGUUGGUGCCAGUAGCUGACGAAGACAGAUUGGGGGCAGGGCCAGGGCCUGAGGUCUUCGAUGUCAAGUUCCAGAACUUUCUUAAGCUCUGCCUAUACAGUCUGCCAUCUGGAAUGCCCUGCCCUCUUUCCAUCCAAUCAAACUCUAACCUUCUGGAGCACCUGGGUGGCUCAGUAGUUGAGUGUCUGCCUUCGGCUCAGGUCAUGAUCCGGGGGUCCUGGGAUCCAGUCUUGCAUCAGGUCCCCCACAGGGAGUCUGCUUCUCCCUCUGCCUGUCUCUACCUCUCUCUGUGUAUCUCUCAUGAAUAAACAAAUAAAAUCUUUAAAAAAAAAAAAAAAAAAA
This 3957-nucleotide long non-coding RNA is filed under the name Canis lupus familiaris (dog). RNAcentral describes it as "lncRNA (ENSCAFG00000057846.1)". The record is from RNAcentral. Lineage: Eukaryota; Metazoa; Chordata; Mammalia; Carnivora; Canidae.